GCCACCAUAGCUCAGUUGGUAGAGCGCGCCCAUGGUAAGGGCGAGGUCAGCAGUUCAAUUCUGCUUGGUGGCUCCA
This 76-nucleotide transfer RNA is filed under the name Candidatus Peregrinibacteria bacterium. Its description in RNAcentral is "tRNA-Thr". Lineage: Bacteria; Candidatus Peregrinibacteriota. The record is from RNAcentral.